CCUGAAUGACCUGUCUACGUACUUCCCUGCUGUGUCGCUCCGAAAGGGAUUGCUCUAGACGCCUGGGAAUAUGGCCACCCCACUGAGGAUUGAUCUUCCCCAUUCCUUCGCCACACCGCACAGGAGUGAGCCUGCCUGCCCUGAAGCUGACAAAUAUUAACGAUGUGUUUUCAAGAACAAUGGUAAAACAUUGGCUGGGUUCAGCCCAACUGAAAGUUGAACACUUUUGUACACUUGGGUAGCUGAGGGCUAAACGAAUUUCAGAUUUGCUUCCAAAAUAUAUAGCCCGCACCUUGCCUCAUGCAUCUAGAAGGCACAGAACUUAAUCUGGAUUUACCUGUACUGUGUUUGAGAUGCAUAUCAAGCCAACCAUCAUCAGGACCUGUUUAGGAAGACUCUGCUGUGUGCGAAGUCCCUAGCCGGCCACCUCCUAUUUACCUCGCUCUUAGGAAAAUCGUUUAGCUAUAGGAAAGAGUAGCUGCACCCUGCGAAGAAUCAUUAGAAGCGAUCUUUUCCGCCCGGCGGCCUGCGGAACAGCCAAGAGAUCCGAGGCCUCUUGCGCUGUCAGAACUCCCUCUCCUCUUCACGGCUCUGAGACCGCCACCACUAAGGCUUGGGGAGGCGAUCCCUAAGGGCGUACUUUGGAUGUUGAUGCUUUAAAAAAAAAAUUAAG
Molecule: long non-coding RNA, 673 nt
Organism: Sciurus carolinensis (gray squirrel)
Lineage: Eukaryota; Metazoa; Chordata; Mammalia; Rodentia; Sciuridae
Exons: 3
Source: RefSeq, a predicted model, not a curated record